GGUCAAAUUGAGGGGGAAAGGGGAGGCGCGCGCUGCCUGGCCGGUUGGGCCGCGCUGCGGGCCGAAAGCAAAACGAGUAGAGAGGGGGGUGCUGGGCUGUGGGGGAGCGCUGGGCCCCACCGUGGGCCGGUGCUCGCGAUGCCGGGGGGGUCAAGAUUGGGCUGGCUGGCCGCUGCUGCUUUUUUUCUUUUCUUUUCUUUUCCAAAACAUUUUCCAUAUUGAAUUUGGUGUGCAAAUAAAUUCUAACCAAAAGCAACAAGCAUAAAAUAAAAUAUGCUCCAGCAUGAAUGCAUAAACAAGUUCCUAACCCUAUGAUGAAUUUUAAUUUCGACAAAAUUAUUUAUUUGCUAGAUUUAAAUGCUCACAAAAAUACUUAAAUAAAUCAAACUAAUUCCUAUUAAUUAAAAACCAGAUUUUGGGUGUUACAGACACUUACCCUGCAUGAGAGAUAGAUGAAGACAUGGUUAAGGUCUCCAUGACUACAUGCAGUGCUCAUUGCUCAUUAUCCAUUGCAAGUCCCUUCCUAGUGGUAAAAAUAUAAAUAACGAUACCUGGAAUGCUUCUGGUUAAAAUGCUACAUCGGUAUUAUCUGUGCACUUGCGG
RNAcentral lists this long non-coding RNA (603 nucleotides) under Sorghum bicolor (sorghum). RNAcentral describes it as "long non-coding RNA (SBIC_LNC002519)". The record is from RNAcentral. Lineage: Eukaryota; Viridiplantae; Streptophyta; Magnoliopsida; Poales; Poaceae.